RNAcentral lists this ribosomal RNA (254 nucleotides) under uncultured bacterium. RNAcentral describes it as "partial 16S ribosomal RNA". It matches the Rfam family "Bacterial small subunit ribosomal RNA", at positions 524 to 776 of the family's 1533-position model. The record is from RNAcentral.
UACGUAGGGUGCGAGCGUUGUCCGGAAUUAUUGGGCGUAAAGAGCUCGUAGGCGGUCUGUCGCGUCGAUCGUGAAAACUUGGGGCUUAACCCUGAGCUUGCGGUCGAUACGGGCAUGACUGGAGUUCGGCAGGGGAGACUGGAAUUCCUGGUGUAGCGGUGAAAUGCGCAGAUAUCAGGAGGAACACCGAUGGCGAAGGCAGGUCUCUGGGCCAUUACUGACACUGAGAAGCGAAAGCAUGGGGAGCGAACAGG